RNAcentral lists this ribosomal RNA (440 nucleotides) under uncultured bacterium. RNAcentral's name for it is "partial 16S ribosomal RNA". It matches the Rfam family "Bacterial small subunit ribosomal RNA", at positions 338 to 795 of the family's 1533-position model. The record is from RNAcentral.
CCUACGGGUGGCAGCAGUAGGGAAUAUUGCACAAUGGGGGAAACCCUGAUGCAGCGACGCCGCGUGAAGGAAGAAGUAUUUCGGUAUGUAAACUUCUAUCAGCAGGGAAGAAAAUGACGGUACCUGACUAAGAAGCCCCGGCUAACUACGUGCCAGCAGCCGCGGUAAUACGUAGGGGGCAAGCGUUAGCCGGAUUUACUGGGUGGAAAGGGAGCGUAGACGGUGCAGCAAGUCUGAUGUGAAAGGUCGGGGCCCAACCCCGGGACUGCAUUGGAAACUGUUGAACUGGAGUACAGGAGAGGGAAGCGGAAUGCCUAGUGUAGCGGUGAAAUGCGUAGAUAUUAGGAGGAACACCAGUGGCGAAGGCGGCUUACUGGACUGUAACUGACGUUGAGGCUCGAAAGCGUGGGGAGCAAACAGGAUUAGAUACCCUUGUAGUC